UGGGAAGGGAACUUGGUUAGAACGUGUCUACAUAAAGAGACAACGAUCCUUUGAGGAAAGGCUUUGCCACUAGGAUCUAAUCAAGAAGAUGAGCAGAAUUUUAAUCUAGUGCUCUCCUGUGCCUUCGCUUCCUGCUGCUCAUUCAGAUGAGUGUCUGCAAUUUCCUGACCUACCAAUUACUUCUUUAAUGAGCAGGUUGGAAAAGCACCCCGUGUCACAUCCAUGGCUAAUACCCUCACUUAUGGGACCUUGACCUCGGCCAGCCAGCUUCCUCACGGUAUGCUGUGUGAUUAAUAGUUCCACACCAGUCUAAUUGCAGUCUGCGUGUUCAUCCCACCAGGGCAUUCC
Molecule: long non-coding RNA, 348 nt
Filed under: Mustela putorius furo (domestic ferret)
Lineage: Eukaryota; Metazoa; Chordata; Mammalia; Carnivora; Mustelidae
Description: lncRNA (ENSMPUG00000029611.1)
Source: RNAcentral